GCUCAAUUAUCUGCUGGCCAGAAAUAAUACAGUUUUAACAGCAUAUUCAUAACUUCUAAAAUAUACAUUACAUUCACAUAAAAAAUAUAUAUUUACAAUCAAUCAAUUCAGGGAAACAACAUAUCAAAAAAUGGCAUGAAUCAGACCAGGGGUUCAGAAGUUAGCAAAGUAUCUUUUGGGGCCUGGCUGGCAGCAUGGCUAUCUGGCCCAAACUGGUUUUACAGAGCCCUCUAGCCUGGAGACAAUGGGGAAAGUAAUCCAAUUAUCCAGGGAUAGAAGCAGACUCCAUUGAGCACAUGUUCCCAGUAAAACACAAAAGGAUACAAAAAUACAUAACUCCUAUCAUACUGAAUUGAACGGGCCAAAUCUCCCAGGGUCCAUAGUCACAGGGCAAGAGGCGGGCAAGCAGUCCUCUCCAGGCACAAGUGGCGAAGGGCAC
This is a non-coding RNA of Pelobates cultripes (western spadefoot toad), 439 nucleotides long. The record is from the annotation of a GenBank genome assembly. Lineage: Eukaryota; Metazoa; Chordata; Amphibia; Anura; Pelobatidae.